GAUCAGAUACAUUAACACCAGACAUCCACAUGAUCCUUUUCAGGAUCAAAUACAAAAAUAUUCUUCAUUUUUAUACAUGAUAAGGCCACUUGCUUCUGCUGUAGUAUCUAUACACCAAACAUCAUGUUCAAUUCCAUCAUUGUUGUACGUGUUUCCCAUUUCAAUAACUGAAAAAUCUCCUCCGUUUCGGGGUUUGGAGACAGUGUAAUGAGCCGCUCUCCUGGUUUAAGGGCUUCAAUGCAGACUCCUGGAGUAUCACAAGUUUACGACACUUGGUGGUUGACAUAAAACCCCUAAAUAACCGAGCAGACAGAUAUGAUCACAGCUUUCAAUUUCACUGCAGCUUCAUGAACCAUAUCGUGUCAGCAUACAGCGUAAAAAAGGUGCAAACAUAUUUUACAUGAGUGGAAUAACAAACGGUAAUGGAGACAAUAAAUUAACCACCCUUAACCACAGAUUAAAGAGUUUAUGCAUGUAAAAAAAAAACAAACAAAAAAAACAAAAAAAGGUUUGUUGUUUACUCCAGAGCUGUGGAAGUACCCAAUAGAAAUAUUUUUGAUUUUUUUGUAUACAAGAUAAUACAAGAUUGAACAGUCAGAGAGUGUAAAUGUUCAACUGUUAUUUAAAGAGGCUGAUGCUGUUUAUGGAUUCACUACUAUCCUGAAUAUCUGUUUGUUUAAAAAGUGCCUUUUAACUCUCAGAGGGCUGCCACAGCUAGCUUGCUAUCAGCUGCUCCUUCCUCUUCGUCUCUCCUAUGGCAACCAGGGUAGAGGACUAUCGCUAUGAACUCUGGGUGCCUUACCUUUUACUUGUUUUGUAGCACAUUUUAUUAUCAAUGCAGGUAUGAUACUGCAGCCUUAGUUCACAGUUUGCCUCUUUUGGCAUUUCCAUUUGCAAAUUCAUUCUUUCAAUUUAGAGAAAAGUUCCCUUUAGUAUUGUCCGUACAACAAUACACCUCUCGUAAUCAUUGCUAAAUCCUUUUAGGACAGUUGGGAUUGCUAACACCAUCAAUGAUGGUCAUACUGGACUGUCUUCUGCUCUUAUUUUAGCCUCCAGUUCUUUAACCGUACAGCGACGGUACAUAAUAAACCCGCGUCUGGUGCCGUUUCUUAAAGCUCGUUUCAUGUCCUCCGAUGUGAUUGCGUAGCUGCAGCAUCACUACAGUACACUUGACUGUACAUUUGUUAUAUUUGGCAAAAAGAAGGAUCCUGGUUCAACAAAGUCUGGACUGUGGUGAUGGUGAAACCGUCUUUUUCACCACCAAUUCAUCUUAUUGUGAGUUUACAUUCAGAAAUCAAUAGGAAAAAUCUAUAGAGGUACGAUCGUCUGCGGGCAUCAAUUCCUAACAGAGCUCCUUUGGGGCCGAUGAGCCAGCAGCCUGUGAAGGUUAAUGGCAAGGAAGAGGUCACAAAUUGCUUCAUUCAGUCUCCUCCAUUAUCUACCCGUGCUGUCAAAAACUGUACUCCUGUAGACUUCGAUCCAUAAAUCACACCUCAAGCCCAUGAGUAACGACGGCUCAUGUGAGGAGGAUUUGGCUGGAGUGAGUCCAGAAGAUAAGUCCUCCUCUGCACCCCUCUGACACCGAAAGAGGAGAGGUGCUGAUAAAGAAUUGGGAGAGGACCAGAAAAUCAAUCAGGAAGCCAUCUGGCAUCCCGGCACUCUGGAGAAGCCAACAACUGUCGACGCCUCCGCUGUUCCCCCCCUCGGCGACUCUACACAGCCUAAGGGAUAGCUACAAGUGACCGCAGCCAGGAGCAGAGGGAUCUAUAGUUAUCCGGUUCUGAUGGAUGGAAACAGAGAUAUGGUGUGCCCGAAUCAGCACAGCCCACCAGAGUAAUGUAUGAACACUCCAGGGAGCACUUUCUUGGCCGUACAUUCUGGAUGCACAGCAGGGGAGGGUGCAUUUUAUAGGUGUGCAGAUGCUUUCGUACAACUCUGGGAGCUGUUUUCUUUUUGUAUCAUUGGCUGGCAAAAUAAAGAUUCAAUACAAAAGCCUCCUAAAUUAAAUCUUUUUUGCAUAUGAGGCACUUUUAAUGGCAUCUGAGUGGAUAAAGCAACAGAACAGGAGCCAAAUCUUGUAAUUUUAGUGUUAAAACUGCACAAAUAACUACUUUAAAGGGAUAUUCCGGUGUAAAGUUAAGUAACAACAACAACACCGUAACACAGA
This 2167-nucleotide long non-coding RNA is filed under the name Xyrichtys novacula (pearly razorfish). Lineage: Eukaryota; Metazoa; Chordata; Actinopteri; Labriformes; Labridae. The record is from RNAcentral.